CCUACGGGAGGCUGCAGUGGGGAAUAUUGGACAAUGGGCGAAAGCCUGAUCCAGCCAUGCCGCGUGUGUGAAGAAGGCCUUCGGGUUGUAAAGCACUUUCAGUGGGGAAGAAAGCCUUGGGGCUAAUACCCUCGAGGAAGGACAUCACCCACAGAAGAAGCACCGGCUAACUCCGUGCCAGCAGCCGCGGUAAUACGGAGGGUGCGAGCGUUAAUCGGAAUUACUGGUCGUAAAGCGCGCGUAGGCGGUCUGAUAAGCCGGUUGUGAAAGCCCCGGGCUCAACCUGGGAACGGCAUCCGGAACUGUCAGGCUAGAGUGCAGGAGAGGAAGGUAGAAUUCCCGGUGUAGCGGUGAAAUGCGUAGAGAUCGGGAGGAAUACCAGUGGCGAAGGCGGCCUUCUGGACUGACACUGACGCUGAGGUGCGAAAGCGUGGGUAGCAAACAGGAUUAGAUACCCGUGUAGUC
RNAcentral lists this ribosomal RNA (465 nucleotides) under Vreelandella stevensii. RNAcentral describes it as "partial 16S ribosomal RNA". It matches the Rfam family "Bacterial small subunit ribosomal RNA", at positions 338 to 795 of the family's 1533-position model. Lineage: Bacteria; Pseudomonadati; Pseudomonadota; Gammaproteobacteria; Oceanospirillales; Halomonadaceae. The record is from RNAcentral.